RNAcentral lists this ribosomal RNA (254 nucleotides) under uncultured bacterium. RNAcentral describes it as "partial 16S ribosomal RNA". It matches the Rfam family "Bacterial small subunit ribosomal RNA", at positions 524 to 776 of the family's 1533-position model. The record is from RNAcentral.
UACGGGGGGAGCAAGCGUUGUUCGGAUUUACUGGGCGUAAAGGGCGCGUAGGCGGCGUGACAAGUCACUUGUGAAAUCUCCGGGCUUAACUCGGAACGGUCAAGUGAUACUGUCGUGCUAGAGUACAGAAGGGGGCAACUGGAAUUCUCGGUGUAGCGGUGAAAUGCGUAGAUAUCGAGAGGAACACCUGCGGCGAAGGCGGGUUGCUGGGCUGAUACUGACGCUGAGGCGCGAAAGCUAGGGGAGCGAACGGG